UACGUAGGGGGCUAGCGUUGUCCGGAAUCAUUGGGCGUAAAGCGCGUGUAGGCGGUUCAGUAAGUCUGCUGUGAAAGUCCAGGGCUCAACCCUGGGAUGCCGGUGGAUACUGCUGGGCUAGAGUACGGAAGAGGCGAGUGGAAUUCCCGGUGUAGCGGUGAAAUGCGCAGAUAUCGGGAGGAACACCAAUUGCGAAGGCAGCUCGCUGGGACGUCACUGACGCUGAGACGCGAAAGCGUGGGGAGCAAACAGG
RNAcentral lists this ribosomal RNA (253 nucleotides) under uncultured bacterium. RNAcentral's name for it is "partial 16S ribosomal RNA". It matches the Rfam family "Bacterial small subunit ribosomal RNA", at positions 524 to 776 of the family's 1533-position model. The record is from RNAcentral.